Long non-coding RNA from Daphnia magna, 2009 nucleotides. RefSeq lists it as uncharacterized. The record is from RefSeq and is a predicted model, not a curated record. NCBI's taxonomy places the organism in Eukaryota, Metazoa, Arthropoda, Branchiopoda, Diplostraca, Daphniidae. The transcript is spliced from 7 exons.
GCUUGGAAUCGAAGUUAAAGGGCAAUAAUGUGCAGCAGUGAAGGAAGUAUGCACGUACGUUCUGCACUUCAAUUUGUUUGUUUGAAAUACUUGUACAUGGAAGGUGAUGCAAGGAAAAAGGCAAUAUCCAGUGUAUGAUCAAGCAAAUUGUUUUCUGUGUAACGAAAGUAUGCACAGAAAUGAGAAAGCCUAUACAUUGCUGCAACUGUUGUGAUAUUAAAUAAUGCAGACUAUCUCAGGUCGAUCAGGUAUAUGUGGAAUAAGAAUAAUAUCUCAAGUCAAGAUUGAAACCUGCAACUUUAGGAAAGAGGCUCUCAAUGUUCUUUAUGGCAGAUGCCCUAAAUUUAGAAACAAUGUUCAGCAAAAAAUAGCAGUAAUUUGUUUUGCGAAAAGGUUACAAGUAUGACACCAGAUUUGAGAUAACAACCAGCUAUAAGUUUUAGGCCAACAAAGAAGAAAGAUCGUUUUGUUUGUUCGUAGUCUUGUUUGUGCAGUAACCUUAUCCCUGAAGUCAAUAUAUGUGAUACGAAAACUAGAUUUUUUUUUGCUUUUAAUUAAUGGGUUCACUCGAUUCUACGCUUCUAUUUCAAUUCCUUUGUUUAUCUGUUUUUAUAAGAUAAAAAAUAGAUGUGAAAUAGUUUUAAUAUAAAGAUAGCCAUUUAUCGCCACACAGACACAAAAUUCAAACAACAGGAUAAUGGGGCAUUCCAGACUUUCCAGAAUCCAGAGCACUUAAUACAUUCGACUACUCUCCUGGUGGCGGACAUAAGAAGUUCAACAUGAAUCUUGAUUUUGUUUUAAAUUUUUACGUGGAACCUGUUAUCCACGUAAAUAUGAUGUCGAUUUUAAUGAUAGCUGUUAAAUUUUGAAUGAAAAUCUGGUGUUUUUAACCAGGUCUAGAAUUUAGUCAAAAAUGAAAAAGUGAGAAGGCUAUACCCUUCUCAUUUUUGCCAAAAUCGGCAAAAAACUAAAUCUCUUGGAAUCCGUUUAAAAUCACACGUAAUACUAAACAUAAAUUGCUUAUUUAGGAAAAUUGAUUUGUUUUCUCGUCAAUUUAUCUGCUUUAGAAAUAUUUUAAAUAAUUGUACUGUGUGACGCUAGCGCUACAUUGUGCUAGCGCGCCAGCUUUUUUACCCAUUUUUAACGUUUAUUUCAGGAGUUUCAAGUCCCACGAGACAACGAACUCAAUUUUUUGAAUCUGUUAGUUAAAUUUUAAAUGCAAAUCCCGUAUUUUCAUAUUAAACUGAGGUUUAAAAAAGUACAAAAUUGGCAAAAAAAGUGGGGCUUAUGUUGUCGGGCUUAUUUCGAAGCUUGAUAGGUGAUUGGGUUACAGAUAGAAAAACAAGAUGGCGUUAUUGUUCUUCCAUGAUGACUGACAAGGUGUAACGAGUAAAUUAGCUGUUAGCGAUGUUUCUUAACUUUCUUGUGCUUGAAAGGAUUUCUCACGUGAAAAUUAACAGGUUUCCCUCAUUAUCAGCUAUUCAGGCUGCUGAUCCAGAAAAUACUAAACUACCGAUGUCUUUUUUCUGUUAUGUCAUCUCUCAUUGAAGAUGAGCUCAGCCCUUUUCAGUCUCCCAUUUAACCAAAUGGCAUAUCUCAUUUCAUUGAAAUCAUGAUCUUUAAACUAAAUGCACAAGUCUUCACUUACUUUGCAUUGACAUCUGAUCAACCAUUAUCUAAAUUAUCCAGUCUUCAGCAGUUUUCCGCCCUAGCCAAAAAUCAAACAGUAGUAUCUCAAUCAUCCAGCCAUCACUACUUCCGAACUUAAGUCAGCUAUCGUUUAUAGACUUCAACUUCUUUUCACGAACUUCGAAAUUUUGGUCGUUGGAUCCCGUCUUGACCAUAUCUUCACCUUUUUCCGUAGCUGACCAACACGCAUAGACUUUAAUGCUGUCGCCUUCAUUGAGAUUGUCAAUUGUCCAUCAUCAUCAUGUCUGCCGAAAAAUCGCUGUUCAAUUCAAGUCAUCAAGUCAUGCCUCCUUACGGAUCUUCCACGCAUCGGAAAGAGC